Molecule: ribosomal RNA, 253 nt
Filed under: uncultured bacterium
Lineage: Bacteria
Description: partial 16S ribosomal RNA
Rfam family: Bacterial small subunit ribosomal RNA
Source: RNAcentral
UACGUAGGGGGCUAGCGUUGUCCGGAUUUAUUGGGCGUAAAGAGCGUGUAGGCGGCCAAGCAGGUCAGCUGUGAAAACUCGAGGCUCAACCUCGAGACGUCGGUUGAAACCGCUUGGCUAGAGUCCGGAAGAGGAGAGUGGAAUUCCCGGUGUAGCGGUGAAAUGCGCAGAUAUCGGGAAGAACACCCGUGGCGAAGGCGGCUCUCUGGGACGGUACUGACGCUGAGACGCGAAAGCGUGGGGAGCGAACAGG